CCCUGCCAUUUGUACACACCGCCCGUCGCUCCUACCGAUUGGAUGGUCCGGUGAGAACGUCGGAUCACGCGUUUGUACGGAGUGUCUAUUUUAGAUACUCUCUAACGCGAGAGAAGUUGUUCGAACCUUACCAUCUAGAGGAAGGAGAAGUCGU
Molecule: ribosomal RNA, 154 nt
Filed under: uncultured eukaryote
Lineage: Eukaryota
Description: partial small subunit ribosomal RNA
Rfam family: Eukaryotic small subunit ribosomal RNA
Source: RNAcentral